AUGCCUUAAAUUUAUGAGUAAGGAAAAUAAUGAUUCGGGGUCAUGCCCGAAUCCGCACUGCUAAUGUGAGACGAAUUUUUGAGUGGGUAAAGUUUGCCUCUAAGGUGACCCGCCUACUUUGUGAGAUGCCUGGGAGUCGUGAUCUGCCUG
RNAcentral lists this small nuclear RNA (150 nucleotides) under Carlito syrichta (Philippine tarsier). Its description in RNAcentral is "U12 minor spliceosomal RNA (ENSTSYG00000027929.1)". It matches the Rfam family "U12 minor spliceosomal RNA". From Rfam's summary of the family: Although the U12 sequence is very divergent from that of U2, the two are functionally analogous. The record is from Rfam by way of RNAcentral. Lineage: Eukaryota; Metazoa; Chordata; Mammalia; Primates; Tarsiidae.